This is a long non-coding RNA of Ictidomys tridecemlineatus (thirteen-lined ground squirrel), 2298 nucleotides long. RefSeq lists it as uncharacterized. NCBI's taxonomy places the organism in Eukaryota, Metazoa, Chordata, Mammalia, Rodentia, Sciuridae. The record is from RefSeq and is a predicted model, not a curated record.
CUCUCCCUCUGCGCACAACCGCACAGGCCAGCUCCCCGGCUGCCCAGCUCCGCUCUCCUCCAGCGGCCCACGCCGGCCUUCCCACCUCCCUGUUUCCGUACAGCACCUCCCGAGCUCAUCACGACAGCUGGCACCUGACCUGUCCUUUUGCGCACAACGACAGAAUUAGACUGUGGGGACAUCAAGGCAGCGAACAGUGUCAGCUCGCCUCCUAAACCGCAGGCACGGGCCUUGAGGAAACAGUGGUCUGCGAGGGUGUCAUGGAGGGGCUCUGUCAACAAGUUAUUCAAGAAACACGCGGGAACUUAUCCAGCUGUACCCUUAGGUAAAGCUGCAUUCCACGACAUGCCUUUCUCACUCCAAAACUCUGGACAUUUGUGUGACAUACAUUGUGGGUGACACACCUCCUGGCUUUCCACACCCGCAAAGGUCACCACCACAGGAACGUUGUAAGUUGGAACAGUCCUUCCCCCUUCAUGGUGUCUUUUUGUGCUCACUCAGCAACCUCAUUCUACUUUUGUAACCACUGUCAGGACACUUCUUCCUGAAAGGAACUCCCAAGUCUUAGGGGAAGGGAUGUGCAGUUCAUUGACCCUGCACAGCAGGCGCCGCUCCAAAGGCCAGGAGCCACCUGCUUCUCAGCUCACGUGGAAGCAAACUUCCAGGUCAAAGCCAAGUGCUGAAGAACCCAGCUUAACUACUGUGAUGCGAGGACCUGCAGCAGCUCCAGCCCACUGGUGCAGGAGAAGGAACAGAGGACUGGGCAGGAGAACACUCCCGGGGGCUGGCAGCAAGGAAUGUCAUCAAAGCAUAUUUGAGCCUGCAAAGUCCUUCGAGCUAUUUUAAUCCAAACACCUCAUUUUAAAGACAAGAAAACUGAUGCCCAGGGCGAGUUAAGUAGUCAGCCAAACCAGACCAGAGCUGACGCUAGACCUAAAUCUUUAUUGCAUGAGAAAAGUUGCAUAUUAGUGAAAAUCACCCCCCAAAGGAUAUCUAAUUUCCGAUUUAGCAGUGGCUUAGGUUCUAGAUUGCUUCCUCAAGAAAUUCUCUUGCUAUAGUUACCAUUGUUGAUGGACAGCAAACAGGAAAGAUAAGGUCCCCCUAAGAGGCUCUUACUCGUUAGUGUUGAUGCACAUCUUCUGAGCCUUGAACCAAAGUUCAACAGAGUCCACUUUUUAAAUUACCACCCAAUUAAGUCAUCAUCUCUUAUCAGUAGAAUAAAGGUACAAAGUGGCUGCCAAUAUGAAUAAAAACAUAGGUUUGACAGUAAUCACACUGGCUGUCAUCUCAAAAAUUCUGUAUAAUUGGAUAACUUCACCACAAAUUAUUUCAACCAUGAAAAUUUAUAAAAAUUGCAGUUAGAAUUUAAUAAAACUAAAUGAACACAUCCAACACUGCAAUAUAAUGCAAACAACUCUUUCAGAUCUGCCUAAGACAUCCACGAUGUGACUGAAAUAUCAUUCCCUUGAGCACUUAUUGAUCUCCUCCCAGACAAGCUGCUAGCGGGGAGGCAGAUACAGAAUCUCAGGGGUCUCUGGAGCAAAGGAGAAUUCUCCAGCAGGCCACCAAAGAGAGACCUGGUGAAGUGCCUUAUGGAAAGUGCCAUCACUGAGGUGGUGGCCAUGGAUGAAAUUACUUAGAGGAUAAGUCACCCACAAAAUGGAGCAUCCUGUAGAGGGAAGCAGAGGCUUUGGACCUGGACAAACUCUACUGCCCACUGGUUAUUAUAUAACCUUCAGUCAACUGUUAACAUAAACUCGUUUUUUUCUUCUUCUUUAAAGUAAGAAGAAUGGUUUUCAUCUUAUAGGUUAUUGUUAAAGUAUAUGAGAGUUUGUAAAGUAGCCAGCACAGUCCAGAUGGGACAGAAAUACCUGUAUUAUACAAGUAUUGGAAGUGGAGCAAAAAAUGUCACAUCCUGGGGUUGUGCUGUACACAACCUGCUCAGAUGUACACUGUGGUCCUAGCCUGAUACACAAUAUAACUCAAUCAAUCAUAUUCUGUUGAGAGCCACAGUUUAGUCGGAAUGACGCCUGGCAUUUUGCUAGAGGGAAUGGUUGAAAGGUGACCCUGCUCUGGGAAUAGGGCGGCUCUGGGAUUAGGGCGGAUCCUGCUGGGAAUAGGGCAGCUCGGGGGAUUAGGGCGGAUCCUGCUGCCUUAGGCGUCCUCUACUUUGGAGUUCCGGUUCCUGUUCCGGGAGAAUUGGCCAAUGGAGCCCAGGGGAGGGGGUGUGUUCCUGGGAAGUGUGUGUAGACUGCCUGUGAGAGUCCAGGAAUAAAGAGUUGCUCUUUGAACCUACAA